CCUACGGGGAGCAGCAGUCGAGAAUCAUUCACAAUGGGGGAAACCCUGAUGGUGCGACGCCGCGUGGGUGAAUGAAGGUCUUCGGAUUGUAAACCCCUGUCAUGUGGGAGCAAAUUAAAAAGAUAGUACCACAAGAGGAAGAGACGGCUAACUCUGUGCCAGCAGCCGCGGUAAUACAGAGGUCUCAAGCGUUGUUCGGAAUCACGGGGCGUAAAGCGUGCGUAGGCUGUUUCGUAAGUCGUGUGUGAAAGGCGAGGGCUCAACCCGCGGACGGCACAUGAUACUGCGAGACUAGAGUAAUGGAGGGGGAACCGGAAUUCUCGGUGUAGCAGUGAAAUGCGUAGAUAUCGAGAGGAACACUCGUGGCGAAGGCGGGUUCCUGGACAUUAACUGACGCUGAGGCACGAAGGCCAGGGGAGCGAAAGGGAUUAGAUACCCCAGUAGUC
Molecule: ribosomal RNA, 446 nt
Filed under: uncultured bacterium
Lineage: Bacteria
Description: partial 16S ribosomal RNA
Rfam family: Bacterial small subunit ribosomal RNA
Source: RNAcentral